ACUGACAUCAAUGAUUCAUUCUGCGAACCAUGGCCUACAGCAAGAUAGGAGUGCAUUCCCAACUCUUUCAUUUGCUGCUCACCAAUCACGCGAGUGAUGAUAUUGGUGCUGAAUGCAUCGGCUAACUGGCGUGCUUGUGAAGCCAGAUAGGCGGCAUUACAAAUAUUUGGCGGCAUAUUGCCCAAGUCUUUCGC
This 194-nucleotide antisense RNA is filed under the name Yersinia enterocolitica. Its description in RNAcentral is "Yersinia sRNA 276". It matches the Rfam family "Yersinia sRNA 276". Lineage: Bacteria; Pseudomonadati; Pseudomonadota; Gammaproteobacteria; Enterobacterales; Yersiniaceae. The record is from RNAcentral.